This 251-nucleotide non-coding RNA is filed under the name Porcine enterovirus 9. Its description in RNAcentral is "Picornavirus internal ribosome entry site (IRES)". It matches the Rfam family "Picornavirus internal ribosome entry site (IRES)". Rfam says of the family: IRES elements allow cap and end-independent translation of mRNA in the host cell. Lineage: Riboviria; Orthornavirae; Pisuviricota; Pisoniviricetes; Picornavirales; Picornaviridae. The record is from Rfam by way of RNAcentral.
AUAGGACGCCAUUUCAGUGACAGGGUGUGAAGAGCCUAUUGAGCUAGUUGGUAGUCCUCCGGCCCCUGAAUGCGGCUAAUCCUAACCACGGAGCGUCCACCAGCAAACCAGCUGACAGGGCGUCGUAACGGGUAACUCUGUGGCGGAACCGACUACUUUGGGUGUCCGUGUUUCCUUUUGAUCCUAUUUUGGCUGCUUAUGGUGACAACGAUAAGUUGUUAUCAUAAAGCUUUUGGGUUGGCCACCUGGAA